RNAcentral lists this ribosomal RNA (496 nucleotides) under uncultured bacterium. RNAcentral describes it as "partial 16S ribosomal RNA". It matches the Rfam family "Bacterial small subunit ribosomal RNA", at positions 28 to 507 of the family's 1533-position model. The record is from RNAcentral.
GAUGAACGCUGGCGGCGUGCCUAAUACAUGCAAGUCGAGCGAACGGACGAGAAGCUUGCUUCUCUGAUGUUAGCGGCGGACGGGUGAGUAACACGUGGAUAACCUACCUAUAAGACUGGGAUAACUUCGGGAAACCGGAGCUAAUACCGGAUAAUAUUUUGAACCGCAUGGUUCAAAAGUGAAAGACGGUCUUGCUGUCACUUAUAGCUGGAUCCGCGCUGCAUUAGCUAGUUGGUAAGGUAACGGCUUACCAAGGCAACGAUGCAUAGCCGACGUGAGAGGGGGAUGGCCGCCUCAGAAGGUGAGCGGCGGCCCUGGGACUGAGGGAAGGCAGAGAUAGGAAUGGUACGCAGUGGGCGAGAGCAUGACGGAGUAAGGGCGAGUGAGUGAUGAAGGUCUUCGGAUCGGAAAACUCUGUUAUGAGGGAAGAACAGAUGUGUAAGUAACUGUGCACUUCUUGACGGUACCUAAUCAGAAAGCCACGGCUAACUACGUG